Molecule: ribosomal RNA, 407 nt
Filed under: uncultured bacterium
Lineage: Bacteria
Description: partial 16S ribosomal RNA
Rfam family: Bacterial small subunit ribosomal RNA
Source: RNAcentral
AUUGAACGCUGGCGGCAGGCCUAACACAUGCAAGUCGAGCGGAGCGGCGGACGGGUGAGUAAUGCCUAGGAAUCUGCCUGGUAGUGGGGGAUACCGUCCGGAAACGGGCGCUAAUACCGCAUACUAUCAGAUGAGCCUCGGUCGGAUUAGCUAGUUGGUGGGGUAAAGGCCUACCAAGGCGACGAUCCGUAACUGGUCUGAGAGGAGGAUCGGUCCCACUGGAACGGGAGCACGGUCCAGACGCGUACGGGAGGCAGCAGUGGGGAAUAUUGGACAAUGGGCGAAAGCCGGAUCCAGCCAUGCCGCGUGUGUGAAGAAGGUCUUCGGAUUGUAAAGCACUUUAAGUUGGGAGGCGUUACCAACAGAAUAAGCACCGGCUAACUCCGUGCCAGCCGCCGCGGUAAUAC